Molecule: long non-coding RNA, 5274 nt
Filed under: Manihot esculenta (cassava)
Lineage: Eukaryota; Viridiplantae; Streptophyta; Magnoliopsida; Malpighiales; Euphorbiaceae
Description: long non-coding RNA (MESC_LNC007376)
Source: RNAcentral
AGCCUCACAGUAGGCCCAAAAGAUAAGAACUGAACAUGAGAAUUCAUGAACAGGCUACUUAUUUUAUUAUAGGGGCAAAAUAGUAAUUAUACAUUAUCAUCGAUGCAAUCGUUACAAUAAUUCUCACCUCCCUUGUAGACAGGGGGGACGGUCUACAAGGAGUGAAGGCACAACUUGGAUCUCCGUAGGCCUACGGUAGCCAACUGGGCCCAGCCCCAGCUGGUGGCCAACUAGUCACUCCCCCCUAAAGAGCCUUAGGAACAACUAGGCUUGUGGCAGGAGGAGACAUCAACAUGUCUCAUAUGACACCCCCCCUAAAAUAAAUACAUGAAAAGGAAUUACAACAAAUUGUCUCGGUCAUUAUCUUCCUACUAAUUUCUACUAUUUUAUCCCAAUAUUGCUUUCUAGGAAUUCUAAUGUUGGAAAAUUACAGUUUUGGUCCCUAAAAACUCUAUGACCCUGACACUCCCCCACUUAAACGGUGACGUCCUCGUCGACUGAGUUUGUUAGGGUUCUUCAAUCUUUGAGUCUGACAUUCUUAGGCUCGCAGUGUGAUCUGAUCCCAGUCCUGCUCAAUUAAAUUGUUAGACAGCCUUAAUCCUUAGUAUCUCCUCUCAAUUGAUCUCUGUGAACUGUUAGUUCUUAAUGAUGAUGAGACUACAAAAGCUCUAUCUUCUGGUGGUAAAUGUUUUGCCCUUGAUUCCUUAGACUACUGCAAAUGGUGCGAGAAAUUAUUGCUUUACUCCUCUGCACGAACUUAUUGCCUGAAGUCAUUGAUCACUAGUUCUUUUCUCCUUGACCUGUCUCGCCGUUACUUGUUUUUAAUUGUCGACCUUACUCUUUGCCUCAAAAGCACGACCCCAUGGUGCAACAAAUCUAUCAACCUGCAUACACUCACGCCAUACGACAUCAUGAUUAACCUGUAAUAGUCUCAAAAGAAAGGUUAGUACUAACCACGUUAGAAUCAAAUACGAAUUAAUAUAGCAAGUCAUCUAGAAUACAAUCCAUUAUAAAUUUAUAGGUGUGACAAUAACACUCGACCACUAAAACUUGAACUGUCUUUACCCAUCCGCUUGACAUAACACAAUGUUAUACCACCUGUACCGAAGCUCGGCGAAUCCUCCUAAGGAAUGGGUGUAUAUUGUCAAAAGAGUUCGCUCAACACUCUCUUUCUCCUUUUGUACGUCUUAUGUUCCUCCCCUUCAUAAGCUUUGGUAUUAUGUGUACUGUAUCUCCUUGUCCUCUCUCUAAGAAUGUAGUCUACGUAAAUGCCUACAAAACACUUCCCAUUACACACACAAAAUAUCCACGACCAAUGAAAAUGGGCAUUUUCUUGUUGAACCCUAUGAGCCACAGAAAUCUACAUAAAACAACUAUUAAGAUUGACUACACAUGAACCAAUUAAUACCAUCAUCAUUACUUGACACUAAGAAAUUACUAGAAGAUACUCCCUUUCUUAUACUGCUUUCAUCAUAGCUCACAACAUCGAUUCGCCUCACCAACUUGCCUCAAGCAACCUGUGCUUCUCGAUCCAUCUCGGUCCUCCCCCACAUUGAUGCACUUGUGAGAACUUUUAUUUGGCCAUGAGGUCUCUUUUCUGCUCGACAACAAAGGUAGGACUAAAUUUGUCCUCUUUAAUUACACAUUAUUAUCUAAUCCCUUUUAAGGCAGCUACCUCCUAUAUGUUCACAAUAUUUGUUAGCACCAACUUGUCAAGUCCCACAUCACGAGGACCCUGACUCAAUAAUCCACAAAAUAUUUCAGAAUAAAUGAAUAACUAUAUAAAGUAAGGUAAGAAAUGAUAUCAGGAAACACAAAAACAUUAUACUCAUCUAAUGUGAGAGGGUUACCUCUCAUUAAAUUCCUUUCUCUCGUACUGAAUUAUCAUUAAGGAUCUCCAUCUCUCAUCAUUACCUUGAGCACCACCCUCCGUUGACGAGUUCAAUGGUCCUCACUUCUGUCAGUUUUCGCUUAUCCCCCUUCUUCCUUUUGUCAGUUUUCGCUUAUCCCCCUUCUUCCUUUUGUCGUAGGAUGAGUGAAUUAUUUGCUUUCACAACGUUGUUGCUCCCAAUGGUAUUUGAUGCAACUCUUGCCCAACGUUACCAUACAUUCCUCUAAAAGAAUGAACAUGUGCUCAACAAUCAUAGUUGGUUGGCACUUCUCAGACAUUAUCCCAUACUCUGGUACUUGUUGUUUUCUUUUCAUCCCCUCUGGACUCCCAUCUAUUCCUCUUUUCCCGACUCAUUUUCAUCCUCGCAAAACUUAGUCUUGGUUUCUUUUUCCUUUUUAGGGUAUGCCCUUCCUAUUUGGUGCUCUUUUUAUACUCUUGUAAAGGAUAUAUUUUUAAGAGAAGAGGCAACUACCACCUUUUGAUCUAUCACCAUCUUAUCCAUACCAGUGUUUCAUUUGAGUUUCCCAAGAACUUUUCUUCUGCACCAACAACACCGCACCACAUAGUAAGAGUUGUAGGAGCACUAGCUUGCUCCCUGGUUAUACACCAGGAUUAAGUAAUUUAUAAAAGAAUAUCAUAACAGCUGAUAACCACAAUACUCCUUUCUCACAACUUACUCCAUUUAUUAUAUAUAUAUAUAUAUAUAUAUAUAUAUAUAUUUUUUUUUUUUUACUUACACACGGCUAGACAAUACUUCAUCGAAUGCUACUUUUCGUUGAGUUUACCCUUGCACCACUUUAUGCUGGAUAGCCAUUAGUUUCUUCUUCACUACUUUCGACUACCUCUCCUUUAUCAAGGAAUAAUUGUUGGUCGAAAUAGAGAUAAUUUAUAUCAUUCUGGGAGAUGCCACAUCAAUUAAUGUCCCAGGUUCACUAAAAAGAAAUUGUGAAGUCCAUCUUACUUUUUGAUGUUCUCGAUUAAGUGAGUUUGUCAAAGGACAUGCUCAACUUAAUCCCCACACUCAAGUUGUCUGCUUAGUCUUUAUUUCCUCAUAUCAUCCACUUCAGUUUUAUUCGUGAUUCUCACAACUGUGUAAAUAGUGCACGAAUCUUGUAUUCGUGCCCGCUUUGUAGACUUUGAAGAUCUUCUCCUCCAUCCCAUGUCCCUUAUUUGACAUAACACUCGCAGAACAUGUCCAUCAUGCUUGAUCCCUUUAUGCAAAUAAUACUACCUUAGGCGGGGAGGAACAAGAAAGUACAAACAACCUAAAGUUGACAACUCUAUGAUUUAUACCUAAUGUUCCCUCCCCCCUUACUCACCAUGUCCCUCAAGACCUUCGACACAUUUCUGCACCAGCAACUUGUAAAAUCAUAUGGCUUUCUUUAUAGAGAACACUUCAUACUACUUAGUUAUGCCACUUCCAUGUCCUCUUGUUUACCACCUUUCAGACUGCUCUCCCACUUAUUGCUUCGGCCCAUCUUCUUAGGCGGCUAUCAAUAAGAUAUUAGAGUUGAAUAUUCCUUCAACUCCUUGGUAAUAGAACCAACUCAAUAUUGGUCGUCCUUUACGCUACACCAUAAUCCUCCAGGUUUCAACCUUCUUCAGGAAGGUUUUAAGCUCAGUUAUGUCUCUUGAAUUGUUGUCACAAUCCGCUUACUCUAUUAAAAUCAAGUGUCACGUCCUCUUGUGUUUUCCAUAGAUGCUGAAAAGUUCCUUUAUGUACUUUCCUUAUGAACACCUUGUUGGAGUUUACCAACUCUCUUGAAUAGCAAAUGUUACAUUCUUGUAGUAAAACUGGAGCUUAUCAUUUCAUAUCCCCCUUUUCUCAUGUAUAGAGUGAACACUCUCUAUUCAUGGAACUAUACCCUUUCAUUUUUUUUUUUGAAUAGAUUUAGCUUUAUAGCUUGAUCCCAUAAACGUUGUUCUUUAUAUGUCUGCACAGUCACCAUUCCCAAUAAUAUUAAUGAAUAAGUUCAUAUUGAAGAGAAAAAAAAUUAUUUACCUCCAUUUCACAACAAGGAUUGAAGUUCUAAGAUUCCACCCGUGCCUACUUCAUAGGCAUUAGCUCGUAAUUCACGCCAUUGAUAAUUGUUCCUCUGGUUCACUUCUGAAGUAUUGCUCAUAAUCUUUCCUAUGUCAUAUUUAAUCUUAUUGCACCAUUCCUGCAAGUAAAACAAAAUACAUGAGAGGCCUCUGCCUCAAUUUUAUAUCGGAAGGCCUCUUGCCUCAAUCCGACUCAGAAGUCCUCUUGCCUCAAUUUUGUCUCAAGAGGCCUCUUGCCUCAAUCUGACUCAGAAGGCCUCUUGCCUCAAUUUUGUCUCAGGAGGCCUCUUGCCUCAAUUUGACUCUAGAGGCCUCUUGCCUCAAUUUUGGGUGAAAUGGUCUCGGGAUUCUCAGAUGGCCUCAAGCUCUAUUGGCUCAUCCUCCCCCUUAUCACCAUACCCUGAGGUCAUUACCCCCUCUCCAAGGGUCACAAAAGGGGAGUAUGUAGCACCUAGUCACUACCCCCUCCCAGAAAACAUUUCCAAUGGAGUGUGCAGUACUAGGUCAUUACUUCUCUCCCAAUGGUGUCCCUAGUGGAGUGGGCAGCACCUCUGGUUUAUAUGGCCAGACUAGCCCGAAAGCUCAUGCUUUUGUCUUCUUCGUCUCCACAACUAUUUGUGCUACUACUCCUCGUAGCUUUGAAAUUGGGAGGUCAUGACCUCCCCUUUUCAGCAUUUUAUACUCAAGAUCACCCCACCGGGUGUCCCUUGCAUGAAAGAGGUUUUGGGGUGGCCUUAAUCUCCCGACAGUUUGGCUAUCACAGCCAACAACAUUCAUUUUCCCUCCCUAGUGCCUCAAGACACUAAAAAAUGGAAUCAAUCUCCAACGCCCUCCCCACUUGGGUGGCCUAAACAUUCAGCAAGGCAGCAAGGUUCUCCACCUUUCUCUCACGGGCCUUCACUCGUGUGGCCAACUUUGUCCGACCUUUAUACUGCUCGCAGAUUUUUCUUGCUCUGAUACCAAUUGUCACGGUUUCAAAUUUCAACAAUCACCUGGAACCGUGCGGCACUUGACUUGAACACCUUCAAGCCAAGUCAGCCUUAAGAAUCACCCGAUACCCUGUGAACAUGAAUACCCUGAUUAGUCAAGUUUCUAUAAAUGGACAACGAAACCUACAGGCAGCAUUCCAUCAGAAGCCUCACAAUAGGCACAAAAGAUAAGAACUGAACAUGAGAAUUCAUGAACAAGCUACUUAUUUUAUUAUAGGGGCAAAAUAGUAAUUAUACAUUAUUAUCGAUGCAAUCGUUACAAUAAUUCUCACCUCCCUUGUAGACAGGGGGGACGGUCUACAAGGAGUGAAGGCACAACUUGGAUCUCCGUAGGCCUACGGUAGCCAACUG